UACGGAGGGAGCUAGCGUUGUUCGGAAUUACUGGGCGUAAAGCGCACGUAGGCGGCUUUCUAAGUCAGGGGUGAAAUCCCGGGGCUCAACCCCGGAACUGCCCUUGAAACUGGAUGGCUAGAAUCCUGGAGAGGCGAGUGGAAUUCCGAGUGUAGAGGUGAAAUUCGUAGAUAUUCGGAAGAACACCAGUGGCGAAGGCGACUUACUGGACACAUAUUGACGCUGAGGUGCGAAAGCGUGGGGAGCAAACAGG
RNAcentral lists this ribosomal RNA (253 nucleotides) under uncultured bacterium. RNAcentral describes it as "partial 16S ribosomal RNA". It matches the Rfam family "Bacterial small subunit ribosomal RNA", at positions 524 to 776 of the family's 1533-position model. The record is from RNAcentral.